RNAcentral lists this ribosomal RNA (463 nucleotides) under uncultured bacterium. RNAcentral's name for it is "bacterial SSU rRNA". It matches the Rfam family "Bacterial small subunit ribosomal RNA", at positions 1 to 518 of the family's 1533-position model. The record is from RNAcentral.
UAGAGUUUGAUCCUGGCUCAGAUUGAACGCUGGCGGCAGGCCUUACACAUGCAAGUCGAGCGCGCCUUCGGGCGAGCGGCGGACGGGUUAGUAACGCGUGGGAACGUGCCCAGAUCUACGGAAUAGCCACUGGAAACGGUGAGUAAUACCGUAUACGCCCUUUGGGGGAAAGAUUUAUCGGAUUUGGAUCGGCCCGCGUUAGAUUAGGUAGUUGGUGGGGUAACGGCCUACCAAGCCUACGAUCUAUAGCUGGUUUUAGAGGAUGAUCAGCAACACUGGGACUGAGACACGGCCCAGACUCCUACGGGAGGCAGCAGUGGGGAAUCUUGGACAAUGGGGGCAACCCUGAUCUAGCCAUGCCGCGUGAGUGAUGAAGGCCUUAGGGUCGUAAAGCUCUUUCGCCUGUGAUGAUAAUGACAGUAGCAGGUAAAGAAACCCCGGCUAACUCCGUGCCAGCAGCCGC